GUCCCGUUCGUCUAGUGGCCUAGGACACCGCCCUUUCACGGCGGUAACACGGGUUCGAACCCCGUACGGGACGCCA
Molecule: transfer RNA, 76 nt
Rfam family: tRNA
About the family: Transfer RNA (tRNA) molecules are approximately 80 nucleotides in length. Their secondary structure includes four short double-helical elements and three loops (D, anti-codon, and T loops). Further hydrogen bonds mediate the characteristic L-shaped molecular structure. tRNAs have two regions of fundamental functional importance: the anti-codon, which is responsible for specific mRNA codon recognition, and the 3' end, to which the tRNAs corresponding amino acid is attached (by aminoacyl-tRNA synthetases). tRNAs cope with the degeneracy of the genetic code in two manners: having more than one tRNA (with a specific anti-codon) for a particular amino acid; and 'wobble' base-pairing, i.e. permitting non-standard base-pairing at the 3rd anti-codon position.